UGCAUAAAUAUUUCGUUACACAGGGUACAAAAAUACUUUCACUUUUUGGUUGGUUGCGAAGUCUGGAGAGAACGAGGAGCGGCGGCAGGGCUGGGGGGUGGGUGGGGGAAAGGUAAACA
Long non-coding RNA from Phyllostomus discolor (pale spear-nosed bat), 119 nucleotides. RefSeq lists it as uncharacterized. The transcript has 3 exons. Lineage: Eukaryota; Metazoa; Chordata; Mammalia; Chiroptera; Phyllostomidae. The record is from RefSeq and is a predicted model, not a curated record.